This 513-nucleotide ribosomal RNA is filed under the name uncultured bacterium. RNAcentral describes it as "partial 16S ribosomal RNA". It matches the Rfam family "Bacterial small subunit ribosomal RNA", at positions 28 to 523 of the family's 1533-position model. The record is from RNAcentral.
GACGAACGCUGGCGGCAUGCCUAAUACAUGCAUGUCGAGCGAACAGAUGAAGUGCUUGCACUUCUGACGUUAGCGGCGAGCGGGUGAGUAACACGUAAGGAAUCUACCUAUAAGCGGGGGAUAACAUUCGGAAACGGGUGCUAAUACCGCAUAAUAUCUUCUUCCGCAUGGAAGCAGAUUGAAAGACGGCUCUGCUGUCACUUAUAGAUGACCUUCCGGUGGAUUAGUUAGUUGGUGGGGUAAUGGCCUACCAAGACGAUGAUGCAUAGCCGACCUGAGAGGGUGAUCGGCCACAUUGGGACUGAGACACGGCCCAAACUCCUACGGGAGGCAGCAGUAGGGAAUCUUCCGCAAUGGGCGAAAGCCUGACGGAGCAAUGCCGCGUGAGUGAAGAAGGCCUUCGGGUCGUAAAACUCUGUUAUAAGAGAAGAACAAAUUGUAGAGUAACUGCUACAGUCUUGACGGUAUCUUAUCAGAAAGCCACGGCUAACUACGUGCCAGCCGCCGCCGUAA